AGAUUGAACGCUGGCGGCAUGCCUUACACAUGCAAGUCGAACGGUAAAGGAGCAAUCCUUGAGAGUGGCGAACGGGUGAGUAAUAUAUCGGAACGUGCCCAGUCGUGGGGGAUAACGUAGAGAAAUUUACGCUAAUACCGCAUACGAUCUACGGAUGAAAGCGGGGGACCGAAAGGCCUCGCGCGAUUGGAGCGGCUGAUAUCAGAUUAGGUUGUUGGUGAGGUAAAAGCUCACCAAGCCGACGAUCUGUAGCUGGUUUGAGAGAACGACCAGCCACACUGGGACUGAGACACGGCCCAGACUCCUACGGGAGGCAGCAGUGGGGAAUUUGGACAAUGGGCGAAAGCCUGAUCCAGCCAUGCCGCGUGCGGAAGAAGGCCUUCGGGUUGUAACCGCUUUUGUCAGGAAGAAACGGUCGAGCUAAUAUCUCGGACUAAUGACGGUACCUAGAAGAAUAAGCACCGGACUAACUACGU
This 476-nucleotide ribosomal RNA is filed under the name uncultured soil bacterium. RNAcentral describes it as "bacterial SSU rRNA". It matches the Rfam family "Bacterial small subunit ribosomal RNA", at positions 26 to 506 of the family's 1533-position model. The record is from RNAcentral.